ACGAACGCUGGCGGCAUGCCUAACACAUGCAAGUCGAACGAGAUCUUCGGAUCUAGUGGCGCACGGGUGCGUAACGCGUGGGAAUCUACCCUUGGGUUCGGAAUAACAGUUGGAAACGACUGCUAAUACCGGAUGAUGACGUAAGUCCAAAGAUUUAUCGCCCAAGGAUGAGCCCGCGUAGGAUUAGCUAGUUGGUGAGGUAAAGGCUCACCAAGGCGACGAUCCUUAGCUGGUCUGAGAGGAUGAUCAGCCACACUGGGACUGAGACACGGCCCAGACUCCUACGGGAGGCAGCAGUGGGGAAUAUUGGACAAUGGGCGAAAGCCUGAUCCAGCAAUGCCGCGUGAGUGAUGAAGGCCUUAGGGUUGUAAAGCUCUUUUACCCGAGAUGAUAAUGACAGUAUCGGGAGAAUAAGCUCCGGCUAACUCCGU
Molecule: ribosomal RNA, 431 nt
Filed under: uncultured bacterium
Lineage: Bacteria
Description: bacterial SSU rRNA
Rfam family: Bacterial small subunit ribosomal RNA
Source: RNAcentral